AGUGAACGCUGGCGGUAGGCCUAACACAUGCAAGUCGAACGGCAGCACAGUAAGAGCUUGCUCUUACGGGUGGCGAGUGGCGGACGGGUGAGGAAUACAUCGGAAUCUACUUUUUCGUGGGGGAUAACGUAGGGACACUUACGCUAUACCGCAUACGACCUACGGGUGAAAGCAGGGGAUCUUCGGACCUUGCGCGAUUGAAUGAGCCGAUGUCGGAUUAGCUAGUUGGCGGGGUAAAGGCCCACCAAGGCGACGAUCCGUAGCUGGUCUGAGAGGAUGAUCAGCCACACUGGAACUGAGACACGGUCCAGACUCCUACGGGAGGCAGCAGUGGGGAAUAUUGGACAAUGGGCGCAAGCCUGAUCCAGCCAUACCGCGUGGGUGAAGAAGGCCUUCGGGUUGUAAAGCCCUUUUGUUGGGAAAGAAAAGCAGCAGGUUAAUACCCCGCUGUUCUGACGGUACCCAAAGAAUAAGCACCGGCUAACUUCGUG
RNAcentral lists this ribosomal RNA (491 nucleotides) under uncultured bacterium. RNAcentral's name for it is "partial 16S ribosomal RNA". It matches the Rfam family "Bacterial small subunit ribosomal RNA", at positions 29 to 507 of the family's 1533-position model. The record is from RNAcentral.